This is a long non-coding RNA of Neofelis nebulosa (Clouded leopard), 1441 nucleotides long. RefSeq lists it as uncharacterized. The transcript has 3 exons. The record is from RefSeq and is a predicted model, not a curated record. Lineage: Eukaryota; Metazoa; Chordata; Mammalia; Carnivora; Felidae.
CCAAGUUUUCAAUGUCCCAGGAAGGGCACCGAGCCAAUGCAUUCAGUUCACAGUGCCCUUUAUUUUAGAGGAACGUGAUCCAGGGAAGAAAUGCUACCAGGUUUUGGCACCAGUGAUCUCAAAACAAAAUUUGGGGGGAGAGAACUUCAUAAGGCAGGUGGUUACGUCCCGAAUCCAAAGUGAAAAGGACGGAAUCGCAGAGGAUGUGGGAGCAGAGGGAAGCCGGUCAGGCAUUUACACUGAAGUCUUCAAGAGCCUGACAACUGUAAAAUAGUGGGCAUUUAUUGGAUGUAACCCUUCUGCUUCUCCUCACCACAGACCUUGCUCAGACAGUGCAAAAAGCUUACUAACAGUUUAUUGAGAAAAUACUGCUUAAGUUCCAGCUCUCAAAACGGAUUCUGUCCUUGUAUGGAAAAGUCACGGCGACUCGAGGAUAAGACCCGAUAUGGCGUAUCGUCCCAAAACUGCCGUGUCUAAACAAUGGUUUAGAUCAUCAGCGAAAUGGUUUAGAGCCUGCUAGUCCCUCAAAGUCCCAUGGGUCCGUUGUGCAUUCGUACUUAGCCAGGCUCUCUAGACUACAGUGUUCUCCUUUGCCUCCAGGCCUUUACACAUGCUGUUCCUUAUGCCUGAAAAGUCCUUUCCCUGCCUUGUCCUUGAGUUUAGGCCUGCUCCUGCUCCAAGGUAGGGCCAGGUACCUGUGAAUCCCGUACGACCAUAUCGGUAGACUCUGUUGUAACGUUCACUGUUCGACGCUGUAACCAUCCAUCUUUGUGUCUCUUUCUUCCCCCAAAGCAGGAGAACCGUGAGGGUAGCAUCUUAAUCACCUUUGUGAUGGAGCAUGUCUAACUUUGAUAAUUAAAAAGUAACAUGUUGCAAGUUAUUUUGCUUUUUAGAUAUCACACGGCAGUUCAGUUCCAUGUAGAAGGGGACAAAAAAGAUCAGUGGAGAAAGCUACCUUCAGUAAAUACAACCACCACCAAAACAGAUUCAAGGAAAAGGCAAAAGGAAGCUGUACUGGCAAUACUGAAACUCCAAUAUCAUAAUUCAGACAGCAAUACUCACUUCAUGAUUUAUGCCAACCUCCUUUCUUUCUUACGCCAAAUUAGCAAGAAAUAGGCUCAAAUUUCACCCACAGCUCCUCUUUCUUGAUCUUUAAAACGAAAGUUGCUAUAUAAUGUCAGCACAGUGCCCGGAUUUGAAAUGAAAUAGGUCCCCAAUGUAAAAGGUAAAGUUCUUUUAAACAACAUGAACUUGCCUGCAAUUAAGCACAUUACAGCUUCUACCUCAGCAUUCUGCUAUAUAAAAAUACACUCCUGGAGCUUCUGCUGUUUUGAGGACCUUAACUUCUGCGCUUUCUGUACCUAUUUUAUACGAGAAAAUUUGGAAGAACACACACAAUCAAUUUUUAAGUGUUACUUGUCUGCUUUUCCCUUUCACACCU